Molecule: transfer RNA, 69 nt
Filed under: Elassoma alabamae (spring pygmy sunfish)
Lineage: Eukaryota; Metazoa; Chordata; Actinopteri; Centrarchiformes; Elassomatidae
Description: tRNA-Glu
Rfam family: tRNA
About the family: Transfer RNA (tRNA) molecules are approximately 80 nucleotides in length.
Source: RNAcentral
GUUUUUAUAGUUGAAAUACAACGGUGGUUUUUCAGGCCAUAAGUUCUGGUUAGAUUCCAGGUAAAAAUU